CACUUUUGCUGAUACAGCAGUGGUGAGAGCAAGUCAAAGGUCUGAGUUCAGUGUCCUCUCGGCAAAUGGACAACUUGUCAAUUCUAGUAAUCUACAGGUUAGCCUGAAAUAGAUGAGAAGCUCACCCUCUUCUCUGAGUUGCUGAAGCUCUUCCUUAUGGCUGACUAAUGUGUGUGCAUAUAUGGAGCUUUCUGAGCAAGCACUUAUAUCCAUUUGGAAGAAAAAGAAUUGCGGCAUACUGAAUACUUUGGGGAUCCAAAUCAGGUUGCUAUUUUGUGUGUAUUUAGGAAUCAAAGAAGUCAGAAAUGGAAGAAAACUAUCAGAGUUUGUCAUCUGGCCACAACCUUUGUAAAUGCAACAAAUUCUUCUCCAAGAGAGGCUGCAAAUAGAAGGCAACAACUACUGAAACAUUAUCAUUACAUUCCCAGAAACUAAUUGCAGAGUUGAAUAACUUUGCACUGACUUCAGUGAUGCCCUGCAACCUUCAGUCUUCAUCACUUUGUUUACAUGCCACGAUCUUCUGACAUAGCCAUGGGACAUCCUGCCUGCAGGUGACAGUGCCCUGUGCUUCAGCCACAUUCCUACCCUCCACCUGUGGCUCUUUCCCAUGUGGGAAAUAUCUCACAACAUCAUGAGCCCAAUGGAGAAGCAGAAUGUUGUGAUGGAUCUGAAAGCUUUCUGUCAGGUUUCUGAUUAAAAAAAAAAAAAAGACAGAUCUUUCCAAAGCUCCUAAAUGCUAGCAGAGGAAAUGCAGAGGAUUUGCCAACAGAUUUGUACUCAGUUGCUGAGCCUGGUUGUUGUCACUGGACUUGCUCUUUGGCUCAGGUAGUGUGGAACAACCCCUUUAGGUGAGGCUUCAGUGUAGAAACCAGUGUGAGUUAUAAAACAAGUAACUGCUCUGCUGAACAUGCAAUCCAGGCAGGAUUUGGCAGAUGCCUUCAGGUAUAUAUAAUGGUUUUUGUGACUGGGGAAAAAAGAUCAAGUUGUGAAUUAAAGUAGCUGAAAUAACUGCUUUUAUUCAUGAAAGCACUCAAAAAUAAUUCAAAUUUUGUUUU
This is a long non-coding RNA of Passer montanus (Eurasian tree sparrow), 1055 nucleotides long. RefSeq lists it as uncharacterized. Lineage: Eukaryota; Metazoa; Chordata; Aves; Passeriformes; Passeridae. The transcript is spliced from 3 exons. The record is from RefSeq and is a predicted model, not a curated record.